RNA transcript from Puntigrus tetrazona (Sumatra barb), 3141 nucleotides. RefSeq lists it as uncharacterized. NCBI's taxonomy places the organism in Eukaryota, Metazoa, Chordata, Actinopteri, Cypriniformes, Cyprinidae. The record is from RefSeq and is a predicted model, not a curated record. The transcript has 11 exons.
CCACAGAGACCUGAACGCUUUCGACGUGGAAUCUCUCUUAUAGCGGAAUUCCCUUCGAAGUUCACUUAGAAGUCUACUUACUGUCGAAUGGAACGACUCUCCGCCAUUAAAGUCGUUCAGAUUUAGAAAGCGUAAACAGAGCUCUUCGCGUCCAGCGGCAUAUAAACGACAUAUAAAGCUGUUCAUAUUCAUCUGUUGUUUUUUUGGGUGGGUGUGGUUCUCAAACGAGUGAGAAUCUGAUUUAGAUAGAAUAUUCAACGAUAUGACUUUGAAGGAUAUUUCUGUCUUUGUUACUAAUGUGCGGGGUGUUUGGUUCAGAAGAUGAUGAAGAGAAGACAUUAUCAGCGAUGGAGGGAGAUUCGUUCAAUCUAAACAUGAAUCUUACCCAAGUACAGGGAUUUAAUCUGAUACAGUGGAGGUUUGGAGGUGAAGGAUCCAGCAUUGCUAGAACCGAUGGAAAUGAUUUCUCAUAUACUAAUGACGAGAUAUUCAGAGACAGACUACAGCUGAAUCAGACUGGAUCUCUGACCAUCAAGAACAUGAGAACCAAACACUCUGGACUUUAUAAACUACAGAUCGACCACAGCAGUGGGACAUCAAAUGAUACAUUUUUUGUUGCUGUCUAUGAGUCUCCAUCCGUUAUUGACGCUGGUGAAUCUCAAACAAAGAGCGUGUCUGUGAAAGAGGGAGAUUCUGUUACUCUUCAGACUGAUGUUACUGAACUACAUGGAGAUGAGCUGAUAGUGUGGAGGUUUGGAGGAGAAGGAAAACUCAUCGCCAAGAGUGAUGUAGAGACCAAGAGUUCAACAUUAUAUAUUACUGAUGAGAGAUUCAGAGACAGACUGCAGUUGAAUGAUCAGACUGGAUCUCUGACCGUCAAGGAAAUCAAAAACACAGACUCCGGACUUUAUACAGUGAAGAUCAGCAGCAGCGAACAGAUGAGAAACAGGAGAUUCAUUGUUAAUGUCGGUGGUUCAGGUGUGUCUUCCGGUGCUGUAGCAGGGAUAUCGGUUGCUUUCCUGCUGGCGAUUUUAAUUGUUGCUAUUUACUAUCGCUGCAAGAUCUUUAAACUUCAAAUAAAACUAAUGACAGAUGAAAAUAAGAAUGUGAUAGUAAAGGAGGGAGAAGACGUCACACUUCACACUGACGCUAAUAUAGAGGCAGAAGAUCGGAUCCUGUGGACGUUUCAAGCUCUAGGUGCUCGUAUCGCUGAAAUCAGAGAAGGUACCAGAGAGACAUUUGAUGGUGGUGAUGGGAGAUUCACAGACAGACUGAUGCUGGAUGAGACUGGAUCCCUGACCAUCAGAAACAUCGAGAUUAAACACAGUGGAGUCUAUAUACUACAGAUCAAGAAAUGUCGCAAGAUAAGAUGGCCCUCAUACAAAAGAUUCAAGGUUAAGGUUGAUGAGUGGACUACAUCGGUGAUGGAGGGAGAUGAUGUCACUCUAAAUAUUAGUACUGAAUUUAACGAAGUUAAGAAGGUAAAGUGGAUGUUUGAAGAUCAAGGCAUGAUGGCUCCCAUAGCUGAGAUCAAUGUUGAGACCGGUGAGAUCUUUCCGUUGGAGGGUAAAGCUGAUGGGAGAUUCAGAAACAGACUGAAGCUGGAUCAUCUGAUGGGAUCUCUGACCAUCAAGAACACCGGACCUGAGCACUCUGGAUACUAUCACAUCCAGAUCAAACACAGUGGAGGGACCUCAUUCAGGAUGUUGAUGGUUUCUGUCAGUGAGAGGAAGAUAUCGGCGGAGGAGGGAACGAAUGUGACUCUAGAGAUUGAAACACAGAAGGAUGAUCAGAUUCUGUGGAUGUUUGGAGCUGAAGAGACUCUCGUGGCUCAAAUCAAAGGAGAGACCAGAGAGACACGUGAUGUUCCUGAUGAGAGAUUCACAAACAGACUGAAGCUGGAAGAAUCUGGAUCUCUGACCAUCAGAAACAUCACAGCUGAACACACCGGAGCCUAUAAAGCACAGAUCGUCAGCCGCGGAAGUGUCUCAUACAAGAAAUUCAAGGUUGUUAUGCUUGCGGAGUAUGUGCCAGUGAAGAAGGGAGAUGCUGUUACGCUACACACUGACUCCAAAACACAGAGAAACGAUCAGAUACGCUGGAUGUUUGGAGAGAAAACUCUCCUCACUGAAAUCAAAGAAGGGAGCGGAGAGAUCUCUACAUAUGAUGAUGUUCUUAACGGGAGAUUCAGAGACAGACUGAAGCUGGACGAGCGGACCGGAUCACUGACCAUCACUAACUUCACGACACAACACACUGGACUCUACACGGUGAAGAUCAACAGAAGCGCAGAAACCUACAGAAACAAGAGUUUUGAUGUUUUUGCCAGAGGUGAAAUUAUUAAAGACCAGACCAUUUAUUUAGACCAGAACACUGCCUUUCUUCUUCUCUGAAAUGCAGCAAACUGAUAAAACAGCAUUUAAAAUCUUAGAAAUUUCAAAGGGCUGUGCAGAAUGACAAUAUAUACUGUGACAUUCAAUAUAAUUUUCAGUGAUUUCAGAGGAAAAGGAGGUAAAUGAAAAUGAAGUGAAGUCUGAUGGAGAUCAUCUGAAUGUAUGAAGACUGAAAUCAUCAACACAGAAAUGAAGAAAUGAGCCGUGUCCUUUGGAUUUAGAUGAACGUACAGAUAAAACCCAUUUUAAUGAUGUUAUGCUUCACACCUCUUUUAGCUUAGUAGUGGUCAGAAAUAUCAUAUAGCUUUUAUAAUAUAUAUUUUACCACAGCAGUGUUUCUCUAACCACUGUAUUUGCUGCUUUAUGUAAUAAUUAACACUAAAAUCUGGUUAAUAUUCAAGUUUUUCUUUGAGUUCGGAUCAUGUGUAGAAAUUCAUCAGACAGUGAGACGAUUCAGAAACAUCUCUGACCAUUAAUGACCAUCUGACAUUUCUCUUCUACUACUAAAAUUUGUGUUAUUUUGCUGUUAAAUUGUAAAUGCUGUGCAUUUUUCUACUGCUGUAUUAUGUAAGUUAACAUAAAUGUAAUCCGAAAGAUAUGUUCUGAAGUCAAUCAGAUGUGAAUGUAAAAGUGAAUCAUGUGUAAAUGUGAAUUUAGAGUGUCUUUGUAAGAACUUCAGUUAGCCUUUGAGUUUAAAAACUAGUCAUAUCUGUCAUGUUUAUCAGUUGAUGUAUCAAAACUCUUUGGC